GUAGCAAGGUUAACCGAAUAGGGGAGCCGAAGGGAAACCGAGUCUUAACUGGGCGUUAAGUUGCAGGGUAUAGACCCGAAACCCGGUGAUCUAGCCAUGGGCAGGUUGAAGGUUGGGUAACACUAACUGGAGGACCGAACCGACUAAUGUUGAAAAAUUAGCGGAUGACUUGUGGCUGGGGGUGAAAGGCCAAUCAAACCGGGAGAUAGCUGGUUCUCCCCGAAAGCUAUUUAGGUAGCGCCUCGUGAAUUCAUCUCCGGGGGUAGAGCACUGUUUCGGCAAGGGGGUCAUCCCGACUUACCAACCCGAUGCAAACUGCGAAUACCGGAGAAUGUUAUCACGGGAGACACACGGCGGGUGCUAACGUCCGUCGUGAAGAGGGAAACAACCCAGACCGCCAGCUAAGGUCCCAAAGUCAUGGUUAAGUGGGAAACGAUGUGGGAAGGCCCAGACAGCCAGGAUGUUGGCUUAGAAGCAGCCAUCAUUUAAAGAAAGCGUAAUAGCUCACUGGUCGAGUCGGCCUGCGCGGAAGAUGUAACGGGGCUAAACCAUGCACCGAAGCUGCGGCAGCGACGCUGAUGCGUUGUUGGGUAGGGGAGCGUUCUGUAAGCCUGCGAAGGUGUGCUGUGAGGCAUGCUGGAGGUAUCAGAAGUGCGAAUGCUGACAUAAGUAACGAUAAAGCGGGUGAAAAGCCCGCUCGCCGGAAGACCAAGGGUUCCUGUCCAACGUUAAUCGGGGCAGGGUGAGUCGACCCCUAAGGCGAGGCCGAAAGGCGUAGUCGAUGGGAAACAGGUUAAUAUUCCUGUACUUGGUGUUACUGCGAAGGGGGGACGGAGAAGGCUAUGUUGGCCGGGCGACGGUUGUCCCGGUUUAAGCGUGUAGGCUGGUUUUCCAGGCAAAUCCGGAAAAUCAAGGCUGAGGCGUGAUGACGAGGCACUACGGUGCUGAAGCAACAAAUGCCCUGCUUCCAGGAAAAGCCUCUAAGCAUCAGGUAACAUCAAAUCGUACCCCAAACCGACACAGGUGGUCAGGUAGAGAAUACCAAGGCGCUUGAGAGAACUCGGGUGAAGGAACUAGGCAAAAUGGUGCCGUAACUUCGGGAGAAGGCACGCUGAUAUGUAGGUGAAGUCCCUCGCGGAUGGAGCUGAAAUCAGUCGAAGAUACCAGCUGGCUGCAACUGUUUAUUAAAAACACAGCACUGUGCAAACACGAAAGUGGACGUAUACGGUGUGACGCCUGCCCGGUGCCGGAAGGUUAAUUGAUGGGGUUAGCGCAAGCGAAGCUCUUGAUCGAAGCCCCGGUAAACGGCGGCCGUAACUAUAACGGUCCUAAGGUAGCGAAAUUCCUUGUCGG
RNAcentral lists this ribosomal RNA (1353 nucleotides) under Escherichia coli. Its description in RNAcentral is "bacterial LSU rRNA". It matches the Rfam family "Bacterial large subunit ribosomal RNA", at positions 637 to 1975 of the family's 2925-position model. Lineage: Bacteria; Pseudomonadati; Pseudomonadota; Gammaproteobacteria; Enterobacterales; Enterobacteriaceae. The record is from RNAcentral.